RNAcentral lists this ribosomal RNA (484 nucleotides) under uncultured bacterium. RNAcentral's name for it is "partial 16S ribosomal RNA". It matches the Rfam family "Bacterial small subunit ribosomal RNA", at positions 30 to 507 of the family's 1533-position model. The record is from RNAcentral.
AUUGAACGCUGGCGGCAGGCCUAACACAUGCAAGUCGAGCGGAUGAAGGGAGCUUGCUCCUGGAUUCAGCGGCGGACGGGUGAGUAAUGCCUAGGAAUCUGCCUGGUAGUGGGGGAUAACGUCCGGAAACGGGCGCUAAUACCGCAUACGUCCUGAGGGAGAAAGUGGGGGAUCUUCGGACCUCACGCUAUCAGAUGAGCCUAGGUCGGAUUAGCUAGUUGGUGGGGUAAAGGCCUACCAAGGCGACGAUCCGUAACUGGUCUGAGAGGAUGAUCAGUCACACUGGAACUGAGACACGGUCCAGACGCCUAAGGGAGGCAGCAGUGGGGAAUAUUGGACAAUGGGCGAAAGCCUGAUCCAGCCAUGCCGCGUGUGUGAAGAAGGUCUUCGGAUUGUAAAGCACUUUAAGUUGGGAGGAAGGGCAGUAAGUUAAUACCUUGCUGUUUUGACGUUACCAACAGAAUAAGCACCGGCUAACUUCGUG